Molecule: long non-coding RNA, 449 nt
Organism: Belonocnema kinseyi
Lineage: Eukaryota; Metazoa; Arthropoda; Insecta; Hymenoptera; Cynipidae
Exons: 3
Source: RefSeq, a predicted model, not a curated record
GAAAUCUGUGGAGCACUCAAAACUUGUCUCUGAGAUUUUUUUUAAAUAGGACUGCUAAAAAGUAAGAUUGAAAAAGUGUGACAAUGACGUGAAGUGGGAAGAAAGCUGGCGACUGUGGGAUGGCAGCUAAGCGAUCGCUAACCUGUUUCGAUGCUAGUACGACGCAGUGGAAACCUCAGAAAACAACGCUGCGAUGCAAAUGAGAGAAGUCAAGCUGUGUCCUUGAGGUUACGAGAGGAAAUGUCAGGACUAAAGGAAACCAGGAGGUAUGUGACUAGGUGAGAUACAGAAUUUAUAGUACCCUUCACGGAGAUGUACUUCAAUACCGACCCAUCCUUCUCCGUAGUCGUAGAUGCGGCAAAUUUGGAAUUAUGGGAAAUCCGGAUCAGGAAAAACUUCAACUAGUCUCAUCAGAAGUGAACUUGGAUCAGACAAUUUUAUAUUUGUCA